RNAcentral lists this long non-coding RNA (7881 nucleotides) under Prunus persica (peach). RNAcentral's name for it is "long non-coding RNA (PPER_LNC008444)". The record is from RNAcentral. Lineage: Eukaryota; Viridiplantae; Streptophyta; Magnoliopsida; Rosales; Rosaceae.
CUGCCUCUGGUGGCGUUGGACACUAUGCAGUCCAACUAGCAAAGCUCGGAAACACUCAUGUCACAGCCACCUGUGGAGCUCGUAACGUCGAAUUGGUUAAGAGCUUAGGGGCAGAUGAAGUUCUUGACUACAAGACCCCGGAUGGGGCAGCUCUGAAGAGCCCGUCUGGCCGGAAAUAUGAUGCUGUGAUCAACUGUGCAACCGGCAUCGCUUGGUUAACUUUUGAGCCUAAUUUGAGUGCAAAAGGGAAAGUUAUAGACAUUGCCCCAAAUGCAAGUUCUUUCACUACAUUUCUUUUGAAGAAACUCACUUUCUCCAAGAAGUCCUUGGUGCCAUUGCUCAUGAUCCCCAAGGCUGAGAGCUUGGAUUAUCUUGUUAAUUUGGUGAAGGAAGGAAAGCUCAAGACGGUGAUCGACUCAAAGCAUCCCAUAAGCAAGGCUGAAGAUGCUUGGGCUAAGAGUAUUGAUGGCCAUGCUACGGGGAAGAUCAUUGUGGAGCCUUAGGUAGCCAAAAUAUUAUAUCUUCAAAUUGUGAAGUACAUGUACUUAUAUUAAGGAUUGUAAACUUCAUACACUUUUUUUGGGACUGUAAAUUUCAUGUGGAUUAGAGCAUCUCCAACCGAUAUCUCAAAGAGGAAUGCUAGCAACCUUCUCCUUUGGAUCUUCUCCAUUUUUUGCUUGACAUGUGUCAUUAUCCUUACACUUAAAACAAUGUCAUUAAUAUAUUAUACAAGCUAACUUUUGCUUUUCAAGUUUACUCUUAUUAAAUGUAUUGAAUUUAUCCAAAAAAAUUUCAAAACUUUCUUACCAUCUUAUUAAUUUUUUUCUAAAGAAAAUAUAUGCUUUUAAGAGGAAAUGUCCGGUUUUUUUUUUUAAUUUAAAUUUUUUUUAUUUUUAACACAAAGGGUUUAGAUAGAAAAAAAAAAAAAAAAGUCCUUUGUGUUUUUAAAAAAACGGACAUUUCCUCUUUUUUGAAAAAAUCGUAUAUUUUCUUUAAAAAAAUAAUUGACGUUAAAAAAAAAUGAUGGUAAGAAAGUUGUGAAUUUUUUUUUUGGAUAAAUUGAAUACAUUUAAUAAGGGUAAAAUUUGAAUAGCAAAAGUUAACUUGUAUAAUAUAUUAAUGACAUUGUUUUAAGUGUAAGGAGAAUGACACAUGUCAAGUAAAAAAUGGAGAAGGUCCAAAAGAGAAGGUUAGAGAGAAGGUUGCUAGCAUUCCCCUAUGUCAAAAGUGUCACAUAACCAUUUAACGGCUAGAAAUAACAUUGCACAUCACUCCAACCGAUGUGUCAAAGUGGAUGUGGAAUGAAGGCUGGAAGUUUAGAUGUUAUUUUUGACAUCUCAAAAGCAUGAUGUCAAAUGAAUAUUUUAUUAUUAUUCUUUUCUUUUCUUUUUAAUUAAAAAUAAAUCAACACUAAAAUUUAAUAAAAUAAUAAUUUAAUUUGACAUAUUGGGUGGAGUGUAAAGCUGUGUAAGAUGUCAAAUUGCCACAUCAGCUAUUAAAUUUAAAUUUGAUGUUUGGUAUUUGACAUCUUCCUUGGAGAUGCUCUUAGAACAACGUAUUAAUACUUUGUACAUUUUUCUUUAUUUUGUUGAGAAAUUCAAGAGUUAUAAGGUAUUUUUGAGUGAAACUAGGCUCCGAUACUAAUACGAGCUCAUGAGUAGAACUUUCCCCUAAAAAUCGGUUUGUAAAAAUUUGAUUCAAAGCGGCAAUCAGAACUUGCAAAAAAAAGAAUAAAUUUUUUGAUUCAAUUGUCGACCUGCACAUUAUAAAAUCCAAACAUCUUCGGGAGCACAAUCUAAUUAUCUAUGGCACUUUUUAAAGAAAGUACAACCUAUACAUAGUAUACAUAAAAAUGCAGGGUAUUUCCGUCAUUUUAAUUAAUAUUACAGUUGGCAACUUGAGAUGCAUCCACGUGUGGUAUACGUCAAAAACCUUCCACAAGAAUCUAGUAACGCUUCCUCUCUCUCUCUCUCUCUCUCUCUCUCUGUUCAAAUCUUGGAUCUUUCCUUUCUCUUUUGUCUCUGCCGACUCAGGUUAUGGCAGCAGCCAUGGCGUCGAAGCUUAUGCAUGCGGUUCAGUACGACAGCUACGGUGGAGGAGCUUCUGGUUUAAAGGUUCUUUCUUUUUCUACUUGUUUACUUUCAUCUUUCAUUCCUGCUGUGAUUUUUGCUUCUGGUAUUUUGUUAACCGCUUAAUAUUCGGUGGUGUGUAAAAGAAGAAAAAAAAACUGUAUUAACUUUUAGAGUGGUGGGUGGGAGAGUUCAGGCUUAAAAUUGAUUGCAUCAAAAAUAUUUUUGGCCAUGAAAUCCAAAAGGAAAAACGAGAAACAGAACAACCAAUGAGAAAAUGCUUCAGGGUUGUGUUGAAUAUUUACUUACUUGUAGAGAACUUGAAAAUUGUUUAUAAUUUAUGUUUGUUUGCAGCAUGCGGAGGUUCCAGUCCCCACUCCAAAGAAAGGUGAUAUCUUGCUGAAAUUGGAAGCUGCUAGUUUAAACCCAGUUGAUUGGAAAAUUCAGAAAGGCAUGUUUCGGCCUCUUUUGCCACGCAAAUUCCCUCAUAUACCUGGUAAGUGCUGUUUUGCCUGGUGUUGUAGUUGUGUAUUUCAGAUCUAUGCAUCUUUGACAUUAUAAUAUAGAAAUUAUUCCACAACACCAAAAAAAAAAGGUUAUGCCUUUUUGGCACACCGGUGUUUCUGGGAUGACCAACAUGCUAUCAAACUCAACUGAAAAAUGAAUAAAAAAUUGAAUGCUCUCUCGGUGACAUGAAUUGACGACUCCAGUUUUUUACCUGCCUCCUUUACAGACUCUGCUGUGCUUGUUUUUGCAAAUCUUUUAUCACUGCCUGUAGUUUUUGGUGAUGUGAAAUUUACUCAAUUUUGUUAAGUUCAACUAGAAUUUGCCUGUUCCCAGAAACAGUUAACUUUCUGGGAACGUAUUGAUUGAUAAACUAUUUGAUCUUGAUUAAUUACUGCAUCAUUGGAACAUAAAGCAUACCCACUGUGUCUUGAAGAGAUUGCCAUCUAUGAAGAAGUGAAUAUUGAAAAGUGAUCAUAAUGGUUACGGAUUAAUAUAUUUCAGUAAAAUCUCUCAUUCAGACUUUAUUCAUUUGUGGAAGUAUUGCAAGAGUUGAGGUAGAAAAGUUAAACAAAUUUGUGCUUUGAUUUUUAAGUGGAUGAAUAUCAUUCAUAUAUUGUUAGAAGAGUUGUUUUGUGAGUCAUAGGCUGAUAGGUUGGUUUGAUAACAUUGUUUAGCUAAUGACAAUCUUGGGAACAGUUACUGAUGUUGCUGGAGAGGUUGUAGAAGUUGGACAAGGGGUCCAAAAGUUCAAACCGGGCGACAAAGUUGUGGCAUUUCUCACCCACACUGUAAGUGUUCAUUUUAUUCCUUUGGUUAAGCUCUCCAUUUCUUGAGGAAGUUUCACUUAUAAAUCUCAUUUGUUUGUUAGAAUGGAGGUGGACUAGCUGAAUUUGCUGCAGCUAGUGAGAGCUUGACAGUUGCCAGGCCACCUGAAGUUUCAGCGGCUGAUGGUGCAGGCUUACCUGUUGCUGGUCUCACAGCUCACCAGGCUCUCACCCAAGCUGCAGGGGUCAAGCUUGACGGAUCUGGCCAGCAAAAGAACAUAUUGAUUACUGCUGCCUCUGGUGGUGUGGGUCAGUAUGCAGUCCAACUAGCAAAGCUCGGAAACACUCAUGUUACAGCCACGUGCAGUGCUCGUAACAUCGAAUUUGUCAAGAGCUUGGGGGCAGAUGAGGUUCUCGACUACAAGACCCCAGAAGGAGCAGCUCUGAAUAGUCCAUCUGGUAGGAAAUAUGAUGCUGUGGUCCAUUGUGCUACGGGCAUUCCCUGGUCAACUUUCGAGCCUAAUUUGAGCGCCAACGGGAAGGUUAUAGACCUUACUCCUAGUCCAAGUGCCUUUGCUACUUUUGCUCUGAAGAAACUCACCUUCUCCAAGAAGCAGCUGGUGCCACUGUUCAUGAGUGCCAAGAGUGAGAACCUUGAUUAUCUUGUCAAGUUAGUGAAGGAAGGAAAGCUCAAGACUGUGAUCGACUCGAAGCAUCCUCUGAGCAAGGCUGAAGAUGGUUGGGCUAAGAGUAUUGAUGGACAUGCAACUGGGAAGAUAAUUGUGGAGCCUUAAGUAGACAAACGAAAACUAUAGUGGGAUAUAAACCUCACGUACUUGAUGGAAGUUGUUUGAUACAGAUAGUUAUGUCAUGUGUAAUAUAAAAUUAUAUAAUAAUGUGGGGUUUUAUAAUCCUGAAUCAAUAUUGUAAAUAUUGAGGUUUGGAUUAUAUAUUGUUCAUUUUCAUGUUGAUUAUAUUUCACAGUAAAUUCAUAUAGUUCUCUCAAAAACGAAUUUACUCGGUUAUCAAACCAGUAAUAUGGGUUUAGACUCUAGAGAGAGAUGACGAUGGUUGAUAUAAUCAAAUGAAAUAUAAAUAUAUAAAAAAUAGAAAGCCGAAGCAUCAUGAAUCAUGAACAAUUCUACUCUGUUUUACUAUAGACGUGGGCUAAUUACGCACUAGCAACAACGCAAGCUUACUUCAUAAAAUCUGAGACGAGUUUCAAGUUCUGUCGAUUCUUCUGAACAAAACUGAGGGAAGCCUAGGGUGGCAACAAAAAAAAAAAACUGAGGGAGGCUAUGGCGAAAAAUGUUAUGCAUGCAGGCUGUGGUGGUGGACGACCUUCUGGCUUAGAGGUUAUUCAAAUUACAUUUCUUCAAUUUCUAAAUAAAAGUUUCCCUCUGUCAAAUUAGUUUCCUUUUGUUUCUCUUGAAUUAUACUCUCUGUUUGUCCUUGAAGAAAAACCCUUUUACAUUACACGAUCAACUUGUCCACUAUAAACCCCAUGAAAAUUAAAUCACAUGGUGCCUAAUGGAUCUUUUUUCAAGUACUUGUUUGAGUAAAUCAAAAUUUGAAAUGUUGUGAAGGAAAAGAUAAAGGGAGUCUUUUCUGAGUUUUCUUCUUUCCUUUUGCUAAUGUUUUUAUGUUGGGAGAAGGGAUACGGGUUGAGAAAAACUUGCAUGUCACGUGAUAGCACAUAUUAAGCGUGGCAUAACGUGAUUGAUUGGGGAUAGCAAAACAGUGCUAUCCCCAUGACAUGCAAAUUCUUCUUUCUUCUCGUAAGGGUGUGGUGGAGGUUGUGGUUGAGAAUGACCAAGACUAGCUUUUGUACUUGGAAAGGAAACAUACAAUUUGUUUAUGCAUUGAAGAACAUAUUAUUGUUAAGUCAUUGGCCCUUAAUCAAUUUUGGUGCUAAUUGCAGCAUGUUGAAAUUCCAAUUCCAAAUUCAUACAAAGAUCAAGGGAGAGGUGUUGCUGAAAUUGGAGGUGGCUAGUCUAAAGUCAACCCCAUUUGAUUGGAAUGGAAAGUUUGAGAAAGGUAUGCCGUGGACUUUGUUGCCUCCCACCAAUUUUCACACGUACCUCAUGUGACAGCCACUCGCACUUUUGUGGAGCUCGUAGCCUUGACUUGGUCAAGACCUCAGAAGGAGCAAGCAGCUCUACAAGAGAAGAGUCCAUCUCCAUUUGGUCCAAAAUAUGAUGCUGUGAUGUGAUCCAUUAGGCAUUCCUCUGUCAACUUUUCAGCCUAAUUUGAGUGCCACUGGUAUGAUGCUGCUGUGAUUCUAAUGCGAACUCAUGAGUAGAACUUGCCUCUAAAAACCGAAUUGUAAAAGUUUGGUUCAACUCGGCAAUCAGAAUUUUCCAAAUUUUUUUUUUAAAGUUCGAUUCAAUUUUCGGCCAACACAUUGUGAAAAUCAAAACUUUUUGAAAGAAAGCACAACCUAUAGCACUUUUCAAAGAAAGCACAGCCUAUAUAUACGUCAAAACCAUUCCACAAGAAUGUAGUAACACGUCCUCUCUCUCUCUCUCUCUCUCUCUCUCGUAAAAUCUAGGAUCUUUCCUUUCUCGUCUGUCUCUGCUGACUCAGGGUAUGACAUUGGCAGCCAUGGCGACAAAGCUUAUGCGUGCGGUUCAGUACAACAGCUAUGGUGGAGGAGCUUCUGGUUUAAAGGUUCCUUCUUUAUCUACUUGUUUCUUCUAUCAAUGUUAUUUGGUAUAAUUCUCUCAUAUUUCAUUCCCUGCUGUGAUUUUUGCUUCUGACAUUUUGUUAACCGCUUAAUAUUCUCUGGUGCGUAAAAAAAAGAAAAAAAAAUGCAUCAACUUUUAGAGUGGUGGGAGAGUUCAGGCUUAAAACUGAGUGCAUCCUAAAUAUGUUUGGCCUUGAAAUCCCAAAGGGAAAAAAGAGAAACUGAACAACCAGUGAGAAAAUGCUUCAGGGUUGUGUUGAAUGUUUACUUGCUUGUGCCUCUUCUUUGCUUUUCAAAAGCAAUAAAUCCAUGGACGAAAUCAUACAAGUGUAAAAAGACCUUAAUAAAUUGUUUUAAAUAUAUUUUAUGUUUGGUGCAGCAUGUAGAGGUUCCAGUGCCCACUCCAAAGAAAGGUGAGAUCUUGCUGAAAUUGGAAGCAGCUACUAUGAACCCGGUUGAUUGGAGAAUUCAGAAAGGCAAGAUGCGGCCUUUUUUUCCACCCAAAUUCCCUCAUAUACCUGGUAAGUUCUGUUUUGCCUGGUUUUCCCCUAAACCCCUUCUUAUAUUCAUAUCAUUCAAUUGGUAGCAUAUAAGCUGCAACAUACUGAUCAACAAACUGCCUGAUUUUUAUUAAUUACUACAUCAUUGGAACAUAAAGCAUACGCUCUGUGUCCCAAAAGAAUUUUCCUCUUUGAGGAAGUGAUCAUAAUGGUUACAGAUUAAUACAUCUUGACUCUCGAUAAAAUCUCUCAUUGAGACUUUUAUUCAUUUGUGGAAGUAUUGAGAGAGUUGAGGUAGAUAAAUUAGUUGGAUUCCGAAACAAAUUUGUGCUUCGACUUUUAAAAUGGGUGAACAUCAUUCCUAUGUUACGAGAAGAGUUUUGUGAUUUAUACAAGCAGUGUUUGUGAGUCUUAGGCUGGUAGGUUGGUUUGUUAACAGUGAUUGGCUAAUGAAAAUAUUGGGAACAGCUACUGAUGUUGCUGGAGAGGUUGUAGAAGUUGGAAAAGGGGUCCAAAAGUUCAAACCGGGCGACAAAGUUGUGGCAUAUCUCACCCUCGCUGUAAGCCUUCAUUGUAUUCCUUUGGUUAAUCUCUCCCUUUCUUGAAGAAUUUAUUGCACUUGGCAACAAGUUUCACUUAUAAAUUUCGUUUGUUUGUUAGAAUGGAGGUGGACUGGCUGAGUUUGUCACAGCUAGUGAGAGCUUGACAGUUGCCAGGCCACCUGAAGUUUCAGCAGCUCAAGGUGCAGGCUUACCUAUUGCUGGUCUCACAGCUCUCCAGGCUCUCACCCAAGCUGCAGGGCUUAAUCUCGACGGAAGUGGCCAGAAAAAGAACAUCUUGAUUACUGCUGCCUCUGGUGGUGUGGGUCAGUAUGCAGUCCAACUAGCAAAGCUCGGAAACACUCAUGUUACAGCCACAUGCGGUGCUCGUAACAUCGAAUUUAUCAAGAGCUUGGGGGCAGAUGAGGUUCUUGACUACAAGACCCCAGAAGGAGCAGCUCUGAUUAGCCCAUCUGGUAGGAAAUAUGACAUCGCUGUCCAUUGUGCAAUAACGGGCAUUCCCUGGUCAACUUUCAAGCCUAAUUUGAGCGCCAACGGGAAGGUUAUAAACAUUACUCCUGGUCCAAGUACCUGGGCUGCUAUUGCUCAGAACACACUCACCUUCUCCAAGAAGCAGCUGGUGCCACUGCUCUUGUGGGCUAAGAGUGAGAACCUUGAUUAUCUUGUCAAGUUAGUCAAGGAAGGAAAGCUCAAGACAGUGAUCGACUCUAAGCACCCUCUAAGCAAGGCUGAAGAUGCUUGGGCUAAGAGUAUUGAUGGACAUGCAACUGGGAAGAUAAUCGUGGAGCCUUAAGU